This 45-nucleotide non-coding RNA is filed under the name Trichobilharzia regenti. The record is from RNAcentral. Lineage: Eukaryota; Metazoa; Platyhelminthes; Trematoda; Strigeidida; Schistosomatidae.
AUCCAGAUGACGAGUCCCAUACAGAACAAAAUGCGCAUCCUGGAU